This 495-nucleotide ribosomal RNA is filed under the name uncultured bacterium. RNAcentral's name for it is "partial 16S ribosomal RNA". It matches the Rfam family "Bacterial small subunit ribosomal RNA", at positions 28 to 507 of the family's 1533-position model. The record is from RNAcentral.
GAUGAACGCUGGCGGCGUGCCUAAUACAUGCAAGUAGAACGCUGAAGGAGGAGCUUGCUCUUCUGGCUGAGUCGCGAACGGGUGAGUAACGCGUAGGUAACCUGCCUGGUAGCGGGGGAUAACUAUUGGAAACGAUAGCUAAUACCGCAUGACAACAGUUAUUGCAUGAUAACUGUUUAAAAGGGGCAACUGCUCCACUACCAGAUGGACCUGCGUUGUAUUAGCUAGUUGGUGAGGUAACGGCUCACCAAGGCGACGAUACAUAGCCGACCUGAGAGGGUGAUCGGCCACACUUGGACUGGGACACGGCCCAGACUCCUACGGGAGGCAGCAGGAGGGAAACUUCGGCAAUGGACGGAAGUCUGACCGAGCAACGCCGCGGGAGGGAAGAAGGGUUUCGGGUCGUAAAGGUCUGUUGUAAGGGAAGAACGAGUGUGAGGGUAGAAAGUUCACGCUGUGACGGUAUCUUACCAGAAAGGAACGGCUAACUACGUG